UCAAUAAAAUUGAAAAUCACUUUUAACAUCACUUACUCGUUAGCAACUUCCAUCAAACAAAUUAUAUAACAACUCCCGAUGUGUUAAAUAUAAAAAUAUUUAAACACCGCUCUUUACAAGUUUAAGGAAGUCCUGAGUUCGAGUCACGCCAGAUUUAUUUAAUUCAAGUCCACAUCAUGUGCCUACAAAAAGUUUCAAACCCAGAUGUGAGGUUGAGAAUUAAAUAUAAAAAUAUUUAAGAGUACAACAUUUAUUUCAUUAAUGUUUAUUCCUUUUUUAUCACAUAUAUCUUAAAUUAAUAUAUCUUAUCUUAACAAAAAUUUGAAAAAUUACGAUUUAGUUUCAACUGCUGACACAGUUAGUAAGAAUAUUUAUUUCCGUCG
This 383-nucleotide long non-coding RNA is filed under the name Ananas comosus (pineapple). RNAcentral's name for it is "long non-coding RNA (ACOM_LNC044896)". Lineage: Eukaryota; Viridiplantae; Streptophyta; Magnoliopsida; Poales; Bromeliaceae. The record is from RNAcentral.